GCGUUGUUGGUGUAGUGGUUAGCAUUGAAGCCUUCCAUUGCAGAUCCGUUGAUAAGGCUCUUGCUUAGGUCCAGCUUUAGUCCGGGGUUCGAAUCCCCGACAACGCA
Molecule: transfer RNA, 107 nt
Filed under: Puccinia triticina
Lineage: Eukaryota; Fungi; Basidiomycota; Pucciniomycetes; Pucciniales; Pucciniaceae
Also listed under: 1 other name
Description: tRNA-Gly
Rfam family: tRNA
About the family: Transfer RNA (tRNA) molecules are approximately 80 nucleotides in length. Their secondary structure includes four short double-helical elements and three loops (D, anti-codon, and T loops).
Source: RNAcentral